CAAAUACUCCCUCCGUUCCGAAUUGCUCGUCGCGGAAAUGGAUGUAUCUAGAUGUAUUUUAGUUCUAGAUACAUCCAUUUCUGCGACGUGUAAUUUGGAACGGAGGGAGUAGUAC
Molecule: non-coding RNA, 115 nt
Organism: Triticum urartu
Lineage: Eukaryota; Viridiplantae; Streptophyta; Magnoliopsida; Poales; Poaceae
Source: Rfam